Molecule: non-coding RNA, 117 nt
Filed under: Nomascus leucogenys (northern white-cheeked gibbon)
Lineage: Eukaryota; Metazoa; Chordata; Mammalia; Primates; Hylobatidae
Source: Rfam by way of RNAcentral
GCUGGGCGUGGUGGCUCACGCCUGUAAUCCCAGCACUUUGGGAGGCCGAGACGGGUGGAUCACUUGAGGUCAGGAGUUCGAGACCAGCCUGACCAAUAUGGUGAAACCCUGUCUCUA